ACUGGAGUUUGAUCCUGGCUCAGAUUGAACGCUGGCGGAAUGCUUUACACAUGCAAGUCGAACGGUAGAGGGGGCAACCCCUUGAGAGUGGCGAACGGGUGAGUAAUAUAUCGGAACGUGCCCAGUCGUGGGGGAUAACGUAGCGAAAGUUACGCUAAUACCGCAUACGAUCUAAGGAUGAAAGCGGGGAUCGCAAGACCUCGCGCGACUGGAGCGGCCGAUAUCAGAUUAGGUAGUUGGUGAGGUAAAGGCUCACCAAGCCGACGAUCUGUAGCUGGUCUGAGAGGACGACCAGCCACACUGGGGACUGAGACACGGCCCAGACUCCUACGGGAGGCAGCAGUGGGGAAUUUUGGACAAUGGGCGCAAGCCUGAUCCAGCCCAUUCCCGCGUGCAGGAUGAAGG
Molecule: ribosomal RNA, 405 nt
Filed under: uncultured Limnohabitans sp.
Lineage: Bacteria; Pseudomonadati; Pseudomonadota; Betaproteobacteria; Burkholderiales; Comamonadaceae
Description: bacterial SSU rRNA
Rfam family: Bacterial small subunit ribosomal RNA
Source: RNAcentral